RNAcentral lists this long non-coding RNA (527 nucleotides) under Physcomitrium patens. RNAcentral's name for it is "long non-coding RNA (PPAT_LNC000993)". Lineage: Eukaryota; Viridiplantae; Streptophyta; Bryopsida; Funariales; Funariaceae. The record is from RNAcentral.
AUUUGAUUAGGGUUUGAUUUAGGAUUUAGUAUUUGAUUAGGAUUUGAUUUAGGAUUUAGUUAGGAUUUGGUUUAGGAUUUAGGAUUUAGUAUUUUAUUAGGAUUUGUUUAGGAUUUAAGAUUUUGUUAGUUUUUGGCCUAAAAUUUGAAUGAAGUCCAAUAGGAUUCUAACUAGGAUUAAAUUAAGAUUGAAUUGAGAUGUAUUUGAGAUAUAUUUGUGAUCAUUCUAAUAUUUUUUUAAGAUUUAUUAUUGUUUCUUUGUAAUUCUUUUGAGGUUUCUUUGAAUUUGAUUAAAACUUGCUUAAUAUUGUUAUGGUUUAAUUAGAAUUAAUUAGUAUUCUAUUAGAGUUAAGAUUUUUUUGUUGCAAUUUCCGUUCUACCUUCCACAAUUAGGUGCUUGGAGCAUUCUCAAGCAAGACUUCAUGUAUUAUGACAUGACAACACUAACUUUAAGGCAACUUUGAUUUUUCAUUAAAAUGUGGUUUUUUAGUGUCUUGCCAACUAUUGAAUUCUUUUUGAAUAGUUGAG